Molecule: small RNA, 131 nt
Filed under: Nomascus leucogenys (northern white-cheeked gibbon)
Lineage: Eukaryota; Metazoa; Chordata; Mammalia; Primates; Hylobatidae
Description: sRNA (ENSNLEG00000027976.1)
Source: RNAcentral
AGCGGGCCAAGAGCUUUAUUUAGCUGAACUGAAAUCUCACAGACCUGGAACACGACUCCUAAGCCGGUGUCCUUGCUGCCUAAGAGGACAAAAGCUCGUGAGCGGGCUUGGCCCCUCUGGGAAGACAGCCA